UACGUAGGGUGCGAGCGUUAAUCGGAAUUACUGGGCGUAAAGCGUGCGCAGGCGGUUGUGCAAGACCGAUGUGAAAUCCCCGGGCUUAACCUGGGAACUGCAUUGGUGACUGCACGGCUAGAGUGUGUCAGAGGGGGGUAGAAUUCCACGUGUAGCAGUGAAAUGCGUAGAGAUGUGGAGGAAUACCGAUGGCGAAGGCAGCCCCCUGGGAUAACACUGACGCCUCAUGCACGAAAGCGUGGGGAGCAAACAGG
This 254-nucleotide ribosomal RNA is filed under the name uncultured bacterium. Its description in RNAcentral is "partial 16S ribosomal RNA". It matches the Rfam family "Bacterial small subunit ribosomal RNA", at positions 524 to 776 of the family's 1533-position model. The record is from RNAcentral.